UACGAAGGGUGCAAGCGUUACUCGGAAUUACUGGGCGUAAAGGGUGCGUAGGUGGUUUGUUAAGUCUGCUGUGAAAUCCCCGGGCUCAACCUGGGAAUGGCAGUGGAUACUGGCAAGCUAGAGUGCGGUAGAGGGUAGUGGAAUUCCCGGUGUAGCAGUGAAAUGCGUAGAGAUGCGGAGGAACACCGAUGGCGAAGGCAGCCCCCUGGGCUAACACUGACGCUCAGGCACGAAAGCGUGGGGAGCAAACAGG
This 253-nucleotide ribosomal RNA is filed under the name uncultured bacterium. RNAcentral's name for it is "partial 16S ribosomal RNA". It matches the Rfam family "Bacterial small subunit ribosomal RNA", at positions 524 to 776 of the family's 1533-position model. The record is from RNAcentral.